GAUGAACGCUGGCGGCGUGCCUAAUACAUGCAAGUCGAGCGAACAGACGAGGAGCUUGCUCCUCUGACGUUAGCGGCGGACGGGUGAGUAACACGUGGAUAACCUACCUAUAAGACUGGGAUAACUUCGGGAAACCGGAGCUAAUACCGGAUAAUAUAUUGAACCGCAUGGUUCAAUAGUGAAAGACGGUUUUGCUGUCACUUAUAGAUGGAUCCGCGCCGCAUUAGCUAGUUGGUAAGGUAACGGCUUACCAAGGCGACGAUGCGUAGCCGACCUGAGAGGGUGAUCGGCCACACUGGAACUGAGACACGGUCCAGACUCCUCGGGAGGCAGCAGUAGGGAAUCUGCCGCAAUGGGCGAAAGCCUGACGGAGCAACGCCGCGUGAGUGAUGAAGGUCUUCGGAUCGUAAAACUCUGUUAUGAGGGAAGAACAAAUGUGUAAGUAACUAUGCACGUCUUGACGGUACCUAAUCAGAAAGCCACGGCUAACUACGUG
RNAcentral lists this ribosomal RNA (496 nucleotides) under uncultured bacterium. RNAcentral's name for it is "partial 16S ribosomal RNA". It matches the Rfam family "Bacterial small subunit ribosomal RNA", at positions 28 to 507 of the family's 1533-position model. The record is from RNAcentral.